RNAcentral lists this ribosomal RNA (257 nucleotides) under uncultured bacterium. Its description in RNAcentral is "partial 16S ribosomal RNA". It matches the Rfam family "Bacterial small subunit ribosomal RNA", at positions 793 to 1055 of the family's 1533-position model. The record is from RNAcentral.
GUCCACGCCGUAAACGAUGGAUACUAGCUGUUCGGUGCAAACUGAGUGGCUAAGCGAAAGUGAUAAGUAUCCCACCUGGGGAGUACGUUCGCAAGAAUGAAAACUCAAAAGGAAUUGACGGGGGCCCGCACAAGCGGUGGAGCAUGUGGUUUAAUUAGAUGAUACGCGAGGAACCUUACCAAGGCUUAAAAUGUAGAUUGACAGGACUGGAAACAGUUUUUCUUCGGACAAUUUACAAGGUGCUGCAUGGUUGUCGU